Molecule: ribosomal RNA, 100 nt
Filed under: Kaloula cf. rigida AMA-2016
Lineage: Eukaryota; Metazoa; Chordata; Amphibia; Anura; Microhylidae
Description: partial 16S ribosomal RNA
Source: RNAcentral
UAAAACCUAGCCCGACACCCUCGCAACUUAUGUAACCAAAUUUCUUUAUUUAAUCCGAUAAAACAUUUUUAACAUUUAGUAAAGGCGAUUGAAAAGUAUC